GGAACCUGCCUUGGAGUGGGGAAUAACAGCUGGAAACAGCUGCUAAUACCGCAUAAUAUAUCUGGGCCGCAUGGCUCUGGAUAUCAAAGAUUUAUCGCUCUGAGAUGGACUCGCGUCUGAUUAGCUGGUUGGCGGGGUAACGGCCCACCAAGGCGACGAUCAGUAGCCGGACUGAGAGGUUGGCCGGCCACAUUGGGACUGAGACACGGCCCAGACUCCUACGGGAGGCAGCAG
Molecule: ribosomal RNA, 234 nt
Filed under: uncultured bacterium
Lineage: Bacteria
Description: partial 16S ribosomal RNA
Rfam family: Bacterial small subunit ribosomal RNA
Source: RNAcentral